GGGGAUGUAGCUCAGUUGGUAGAGUACUUGCCUUACAUGCACAAGGUCCUGGGUUUGAAUCCCCAGCACCCA
This 72-nucleotide transfer RNA is filed under the name Ictidomys tridecemlineatus (thirteen-lined ground squirrel). RNAcentral's name for it is "Spermophilus tridecemlineatus (thirteen-lined ground squirrel) tRNA". It matches the Rfam family "tRNA". Rfam says of the family: Transfer RNA (tRNA) molecules are approximately 80 nucleotides in length. Their secondary structure includes four short double-helical elements and three loops (D, anti-codon, and T loops). The record is from Rfam by way of RNAcentral. Lineage: Eukaryota; Metazoa; Chordata; Mammalia; Rodentia; Sciuridae.